Molecule: unclassified non-coding RNA, 329 nt
Filed under: soil metagenome
Description: partial contains 5.8S ribosomal RNA, internal transcribed spacer 2, and large subunit ribosomal RNA
Rfam family: 5.8S ribosomal RNA (bases 1-120)
Source: RNAcentral
GAUGAAGAACGUAGCGAAAUGCGAUAAGUAAUGUGAAUUGCAGAAUUCAGUGAAUCAUCGAAUCUUUGAACGCACAUUGCGCCCGCCAGUAUUCUGGCGGGCAUGCCUGUUCGAGCGUCAUUAUAACCACUCAAGCUCUCGCUUGGUAUUGGGGUUCGCGGUUUCGCGGCCCCUAAAAUCAGUGGCGGUGCCUGUCGGCUCUACGCGUAGUAAUACUUCUCGCGAUUGAGUUCGAUAGGUCUACUUGCCAGUAACCCCCAAUUUUUACAGGUUGACCUCGGAUCAGGUAGGGAUACCCGCUGAACUUAAGCAUAUCAAUAAGCGGAGGA